GCUAUCGGCAGCACAGGAGAGGAUUAGCCAGUUGGUAGGAAGCUCGUCCCGACUUUCAACUUGGGCCGACAGCGAUCGGGAAUGGUCGAAGAAGGUCUCCAACCUUUAGCAACAGCUCCAGGAUGCUGAGGCGAGCUAUAACGCGUACCGGGCCGGCUGGUGCAAGCAGGUGGAUGAUUAUAGGGGAAGCUCAGGGUGGCGACCGAUGAGGUUGCCCGCCUUCAAAGGUAGCUAGCUGAAGGGGCUCAGUUUGCUCCUGUUCAGGGUCCCGACGAACUUCAAUCCCUGAG
This 290-nucleotide long non-coding RNA is filed under the name Elaeis guineensis (African oil palm). RNAcentral's name for it is "long non-coding RNA (EGUI_LNC074518)". The record is from RNAcentral. Lineage: Eukaryota; Viridiplantae; Streptophyta; Magnoliopsida; Arecales; Arecaceae.